RNAcentral lists this non-coding RNA (26 nucleotides) under Cricetulus griseus (Chinese hamster). Lineage: Eukaryota; Metazoa; Chordata; Mammalia; Rodentia; Cricetidae. The record is from RNAcentral.
CCACAGCAAACUGGACUCACACCCGA